This is a long non-coding RNA of Mytilus californianus (California mussel), 196 nucleotides long. RefSeq lists it as uncharacterized. NCBI's taxonomy places the organism in Eukaryota, Metazoa, Mollusca, Bivalvia, Mytilida, Mytilidae. The transcript is spliced from 3 exons. The record is from RefSeq and is a predicted model, not a curated record.
GGUUAUUCCAACAUUCAUGAGUUAUUGAACUUCAGCAUGCCAUACAAAAAGAGAAAAAAUGAGGGAUCGAAACGAGAAGACAGCGAAGUCAGGAUUAUGUUGACUGAUAUCAAACAAAGGAGUACAGAAUUGGAAAGACCAUCAAAGAGGCAAAAGAGAGGAGUAAAGGUUUGGUAUACAUUAUUGGUUCAGCACG